GACGAGCAGAUUUGAGCUUUUUUGGCCUGUGGGCAUAUGAUACUUUGUGGGCACUGGCUAUGGCAGCAGAAAGAGUUGGACUGAAAGAGCCACCGAAAACUUUAGAUAAUUCAACUGUUAAUCUCAAUGUUUCAGACCUUUUAAAUUUUGGGAACUCAGAAGUCGGUCCAAAACUUCUAAAAGCACCACCCAAAACUUUAGAAAAUUCAACUGUUAAUCUCAAUGUUUCAGACCUUUUCAAUUUUGGGAAAUCAGAAGUCGGCCCAAAACUUCUAAAAGCAAUAUCAGAGACCAAAUUUGAAGGGCUUUCAGGGAAGUUCCGCCUUAUAGAUGGCAAGAUGGAGUCGUCAUCCUAUCAGAUAAUUAAUAUGGU
This 373-nucleotide long non-coding RNA is filed under the name Nicotiana benthamiana. RNAcentral's name for it is "long non-coding RNA (NBEN_LNC013133)". Lineage: Eukaryota; Viridiplantae; Streptophyta; Magnoliopsida; Solanales; Solanaceae. The record is from RNAcentral.